AUGGCUCGCGGCGAUCAUCAAAGUGAUGAUGACGAUUUCAUGGAUCCACCUCAACGUAACCGGGAAACUGGACGGAGAAAAGAGGGUGAUGAGAAGAAGAAACAUAUUCGCAACAGAGCCUCCCAGGAACGUCUGACCGUGCUGAUUGACAAAUUCAGUGACGAUCAAAAGGGAGCUGCUGCUGAGAUGGGUAUGCAGGUUCUGAUGGAUGUCCGGUGCACGAACCUUGUCAACCCGGUAUGCGACUGGCUUGGUGAGAUAUACGAUCCCGCCUCCAGGGAAUUCGUGAUCCCGGGAUAG
This 300-nucleotide ribosomal RNA is filed under the name Triticum aestivum (bread wheat). RNAcentral describes it as "partial small subunit ribosomal RNA". Lineage: Eukaryota; Viridiplantae; Streptophyta; Magnoliopsida; Poales; Poaceae. The record is from RNAcentral.